RNAcentral lists this ribosomal RNA (263 nucleotides) under uncultured bacterium. RNAcentral describes it as "partial 16S ribosomal RNA". It matches the Rfam family "Bacterial small subunit ribosomal RNA", at positions 524 to 785 of the family's 1533-position model. The record is from RNAcentral.
UACGGAGGGAGCUAGCGUUGUUCGGAAUUACUGGGCGUAAAGCGCGCGUAGGCGGUCCAUCAAGUCAGAGGUGAAAGCCCGGGGCUCAACCCCGGAACUGCCUUUGAAACUAGCGGACUAGAAUCUUGGAGAGGUCAGUGGAAUUCCGAGUGUAGAGGUAAAAUUCGUAGAUAUUCGGAAGAACACCAGUGGCGAAGGCGACUGACUGGACAAGUAUUGACGCUGAGGUGCGAAAGCGUGGGGAGCAAACAGGAUUGAGAAAC